RNAcentral lists this transfer RNA (69 nucleotides) under Hylophorbus sp. TNHC-GDC 31221. RNAcentral's name for it is "tRNA-Asp". It matches the Rfam family "tRNA". From Rfam's summary of the family: Transfer RNA (tRNA) molecules are approximately 80 nucleotides in length. Their secondary structure includes four short double-helical elements and three loops (D, anti-codon, and T loops). The record is from RNAcentral. Lineage: Eukaryota; Metazoa; Chordata; Amphibia; Anura; Microhylidae.
GGGGCGUUAGUUAAAUAAUAACCUUGCCUUGUCAAGGCAAACUAACAGGUUAAACCCCUGUACUCCCCC